GUGACCUAGAACAACAUGUGAGGCAACUUCAGAGCCAAUAUCCUAAUUCUGGAAAUGAGAUGAUAAGAGCCCUGUUGCGUGCACAGGGUGUGCUUGAUACACGGUCCAGGGUGCGUGAGAUGUUGACACGGGUCAAUCCUACUGCUGCUGCAAGGAGAUGGAGCCAGACAGUUGCAAGACGUGUUUAUCAUGUACCUUACCCCAAUAGUUUGUGGCACAUUGAUGGGAACAUGCGUCUCAUAAGAUGGGGUUUUGUGAUUCAUGGUGUAAUUGAUGGAUACUCCCAUCUGAUUACUUACCUCAACUGCAGCACAGACAAUCGUGCCACAACAGUGCUUUCACAGUUUUUGAAAGCAACAUGCAUCUAUGCCCUACCAUCAAGAGUCAGAUCUGAACAUCCUUGUGGCUUUAUUCAUGCAUCUAGCUCAAGGACUUGAACACAGAGGUUUCAUAACCGGACGAUCAGUUCACAAUCAGAAAAUUUAACGCCUUUGGCGUGAUGUAUUUUUGCAUGUGUUGCAGCACUCUUACCUUAUGUUCUAAUCCUUAGAGGAUUCAGAGGUUCUAAACCCAGAUGAUGAUGUCCACAGACUUUCAGUGCAUAUUGUUUAUCUUCCUGAGAUUCAAAAAAGACUGGAGCAGUUUAGACAGGCCUGGAACCUCCAUCCGUUGCGACAGAAAAUAAUCGCACACCAUCUCAACUCUGGACAGAGGGCAUGCUCAAAAACAUUGCAACAGACAGCACAGCUGUCAACAAUGUGUUUGGGGAAAAUCCCUACAGCGACCAAAACAUUGAUGCCCAUCC
RNA transcript from Cyprinus carpio (common carp), 805 nucleotides. RefSeq lists it as uncharacterized. The record is from RefSeq and is a predicted model, not a curated record. NCBI's taxonomy places the organism in Eukaryota, Metazoa, Chordata, Actinopteri, Cypriniformes, Cyprinidae.